UAGUCAAAACUGUGAACAUAUGAUCGUGACGAGUGUAGCAACACAAAAAAAAAAUUUUGAAAUUAGAGUGUACAGAGCGCGCAAAAUUCAAAAAGUCUUACUUUUUGAUCACACCUCGUAUGUGUACGGUACAACGGAUACGAGACGAGUCUUUCUCUUUUCUCGUGCGCGUCUUUAAAUACUCUCGGUUCGACCAAAGGAUUUCGCCUAAUGAAGAUUUUAAAUUUUCUAAUUUUCCCGUGUACCGAAAGCUGCUGCCUAUUUGUCUUAAUUCUUAAAGCUUCUAUUUCUUUUCAUAUUUACAUCUCUCUAUUGUUUCGAACUGCCUAACAACACGUUUCUAUUCUCGAAUUUUCUUAUCUAUUAUCAUUUGUCGGUUGGGCUCGUGGCAAGGCAAUCGCCACAGUAGUAUGACAGAUUUUAUUUUUUAUUCAUAUGAUCGAAACAAAACUGAUGUCAAUUUAAAUAAGUAGACGAUGAACGUUUACAGAAGUGACUUAUAUUUGUAACCAUUCAUUCCAUCCACAUCGCAAUCACGAUUGUCUACUUGUUUAAAUUGACAUCAGUUUUGUUUCGAUCAUAUAAAUAAAAAUAAAAUCUGUCAUACUACAAUGCGGACGAGAGUAACCUACACAAUUGUAUUGCGUUAAUUUUGGAUUUGGACUUGACAAUUUGUACCCACGCUACUAUUAACCAUCAUAUGUGGAAUAGAAGAUUAAUUUACAUUAAAAAUGAUCCAAAACUAGGAUCGAAACGUCUGUAAUUAUAAUUGUGCACUAUGUAAUGUUUGUUCGCUAAUUAUAUUAAUUCCCAGAUAACCAAGGUAGAUUCAGCACAUCGGGCAAAUUAAUGCAUUGCAUGUAUUGUUGUGAAUUUGCAGGCAAUUUGCUGGCUACAGAAUUUAACGUGAAACUGAGUGAGCAACAGGAGAGCAAAAACACAUCAGUUAAUAAAAUGUUAAGAGCAAACGUUUAUUAAUAAUAACAUAUCAUGUUGACAGCAAACUGUCGGCUCGUCAUGAGCUUGCAUUCGUAUAUAUCAUAAUGACAGAAAUAUGUCAGUAAAAUGAUGACACGUAUGAUACCAAAAGUUUAAUACAAGAAGUAGAAUAUUUGGUGAAUAUUGUUAAAGAUUCUAAAUUGCAGCUUAUUAUCGACAAUUUGGUGACAUGACAAUAUUCGGUCCCACCGUGUGUAAGACUCCACACGAACAAGUGAGUGCUGGCGCCACCGCUAGGUGGCCACACCGCAGGGGAUUUCUCAUGAGUCAAGUACGGCCACAGACGUUAUAUCUAAGCGCCACGGUCGACUCCCCAAUUCAUACCAUAGUUUAUAUUUCAGUGAGCCUUUAGGAGCUACAUGUUGUAACAUCAAGACGAAUACUCGCUCUCAUUAUUUUAAAACAUGACCUUGUUGUCAACAAUUUGUUGACAUGACAAUAUUCGGUCCCGCCGUGUGUAAGGCCCCGCGCGAACAAAUGAGUGUCGGCGCCACCGCUAAGCGGCCACGCCAUGGAGGAUUUCUCAUGAGUCAAGUGCGGCCACAGGCGCCACUGCGGCAGACUCACCAGAGCAUACUUCAGUGAGGAGCUGCUUGUUGUAACUUCGAGACGAAUACUCGCUCUCAUUCUUUUAAAACAUAACGUGUGUAUGGAACGCUGUUCCAUAUAAAAUUUUAUAUUUUUACAUGUAAAUAGUUAACUUGUUUUCUUAUCAAAUGUAAAGCAUUUAUAUUUUUGUAAAUGUUGCCAUCAUGUUGCUGUCAUCAUGCUGCAUAUCAUGGAUACCACAUCGUGACAAGUUGUUUUCAUGUUGACAUCAAGAUGCCGUCAAUAUACUGUUAAACGCGGACAGCAAAUUGAUGAUAACAGUUGCCAUCAUGUUGCUAUCAUACGUAUAUUCUUUAAGUAUAAUGAAGUAAUGCCAUCGAGAUGCUAUCAAUUUGCCAUCAUCAAAUUUAAAAUUUAUGUGAGGGCAAGAUUUCACAUAUAGUGAAGAAGCACCUUGUCUCUAGUUUGUUGACAUCAGUUGCUGAAACGGUUAACAGCAAUGUAAUGGCAUUUUAAACUCAUUUGGCUAUCUGGAAUGUGUUUAUUUUUUUUAAAUUGUAAAAAAGUGAUAUAUAAAAAAUUAAAAAGUAGUAUCAAUUUAAAAAUAUAAGAUUUAAAUAAAAACGUCUUAUCCUUGGGGAUCGAACUUGAAUGUAGCAGUCAACGUCUUAUCGCCGAACGCUACGUCAAUGACUUUAUUAUUAUUUUUUAAAUAUUUUUUUUCUCGAGAAUGACUGAAUAUUGCAAUUUACGGCUUUACUGUAGUAAAUGUUUGAGUGAAUACUACAUAUCCAUAAAAUUUUAUUAAAAUUGAUGAUGCCCAAGUAUGGUUUCUCUUUGUAAAUGUAAAAAUAAAAUGCAAAUAUUUUUAAUAGUGAAAUAUAUAUUUUAUCAAUUACACAAUAAAGUAUAUUGAUGAUUUCGCGAUCAAUUCGUUCACAUACUUAUGUUACACAUAUCUUUUCAUCAAUUUGUGUACAAUGGUUUUAAUGUGCAUCAGUGCGUUCAACGCAAAUUUGCUAUAAGUUUAGAAUUAUAAUGAAAUUAUGCAUUAAUUAUCGGAAAUAUUUAAAUACUUAUUUAACAAAUUGAAUUUUUGUCAUUAUAUUUUAAAAUAAUUGUUAAUAAUAAAGUAAAUAAACUAUAAAAAUAUGUUAAUAAAUAAAAAUAUAAUGUUAUUCAAUUUUAUAAAACAAUUCUAUAUAAAAUUUAAAAGUAUCAAUAUUAAUAUAUUUCAAAAUUUAAUUUACUUUGCAGGAACUAGACGGAUAGUACAUCCUUAACUGUAAAGAGGAAUAUUCAAUGUAUAUAUUAAUAUACAUAAAAUAAAUGUAUUAUAAAUAUCA
Long non-coding RNA from Solenopsis invicta (red fire ant), 2894 nucleotides. RefSeq lists it as uncharacterized. Lineage: Eukaryota; Metazoa; Arthropoda; Insecta; Hymenoptera; Formicidae. The record is from RefSeq and is a predicted model, not a curated record. The transcript is spliced from 2 exons.